AAGUGUUUUUUUUUAAAAGUUUGAUUCUUUUUUAAUUUUUAUUUACAAAGUUCAAGAUAAUAUUAAUUGUAUUUUAUCAAAUUUAUCCCUAGAUAAUCAUUAUAUAGAAAGAAAAAAUAAAAUAAAUUUAAUAAAUAAUUAAGUGUAUUAUAGAUAAAAAGAAAAUUGUAGUUGAAAAAGUAAUAAUAAUAAUUAUUUUUUUUUUAGUUUUUUUUAAUUAUGAAUCAUCCUAAUAAUAAUUAGUACUAGUAUUACAUUAGUCGGUAGUCUUUAUAACACCAUAUUUUGUAUUAAUGUGUUCCACAAACUUUUCUUUUUCUUCUUUAAAGAAAGUUUAC
RNAcentral lists this long non-coding RNA (338 nucleotides) under Lathyrus oleraceus (garden pea). RNAcentral describes it as "Pisum sativum (pea) long non-coding RNA (PSAT_LNC014132)". Lineage: Eukaryota; Viridiplantae; Streptophyta; Magnoliopsida; Fabales; Fabaceae. The record is from RNAcentral.